Molecule: ribosomal RNA, 421 nt
Filed under: uncultured bacterium
Lineage: Bacteria
Description: bacterial SSU rRNA
Rfam family: Bacterial small subunit ribosomal RNA
Source: RNAcentral
UAAGGAAUAUUGGUCAAUGGACGCAAGUCUGAACCAGCCAUGCCGCGUGAAGGAUGAAGGUCCUCUGGAUUGUAAACUUCUUUUAUCUGGGACGAAAACGGGAUUUUUAUCUCAAUUGACGGUACCAGAGGAAUAAGCACCGGCUAACUCCGUGCCAGCAGCCGCGGUAAUACGUAGGGUGCGAGCGUUAAUCGGAAUUACUGGGCGUAAAGGGUGCGCAGGCGGUCUUGCAAGUCAGAUGUGAAAGCCCCGGGCUUAACCUGGGAAUUGCGUUUGAAACUACAAGACUAGAGUGCAGCAGAGNGGAGUGGAAUUCCAUGUGUAGCAGUGAAAUGCGUAGAGAUGUGGAAGAACACCGAUGGCGAAGGCAGCUCCCUGGGUUGACACUGACGCUCAUGCACGAAAGCGUGGGGAGCAAACA